GUCCUCAUUCGUCGUCCUCCCGUUCCGCACCUGGGCCGCAUCCGUUUUCUACCAAACCGCUCCCAUCUAUCGGGCCUCUCUCAAUCGACGCCUGCACACCCGCCCAUCUUCAUGUAUCUCCGCUGCGGCGCCGCCCCUGCCACCGCGUCUCCGCAUCAGCCGUCCUCCGCUCGCGCCAGAAGCCUCCAUCCUCUAGCUCUCGCAGUUCCGGUAGGAGACCAUGACCUUUGUCGGGCACUCGCCGCCAUCGGCGAUAAGGUCAACAUCCGACGCGUGAUGUCCUGGAGAGAAUCGACGGAUCUGGCGUUGUUGCUAUGGCCCCUUGGCCGUCGUCAGUCGUCACCGGAUCCACCUCCACGCCCGCGUCGCCGCCUACCUGUAGCCGUGCUGCCUCCAUCGUUCUCGCGCCUGUGCCAUCGCCUUUGCCUGCACCUGUGCCACAGCCAUCGCUCUCUCUCUCUCGCACCACCCUGCCAGUGUCGCCGCUGUUGUUCUCCGAUCCGUCCGACCAUGUUCCCAUGCUACAAAUUCCCGUCAUCGCAGUGUUGAUCGCCGUAGGUGGCAGCCGCAGCUCAACCGCUACCUCGGGAGGUCCUCCUAAAUCAUCCAGGUUGUAUUAUCCUCUCUUCUCCAUCUCAGUCUUAAAUUACUGCUCACAACUCACACGUAUCAUCCUUCUUUCUGUUAUAUGGUUCAACCAGUAAUCACAUAAACCUAAUUGUAUUCUUGUGAUAGUUCGGUUCCAGCCCACCAGGUGUUUGUGCAAAUGUCUAAGAGUUCAAAUUCCUUUUGUUCAAUAAAUGAGAGGUUCUUUUUCCUAAUACUUCUGGAUGACAUGCUAAUGAAACACCUCCAAUGAUGCCAUGUCGUGAAGUCAUGAGGACCCCCAGCUGUGUAGAUGACAAAGUGGUUAGUGCAUCAGACUAUAUUGUGUCACUUUUAGGAGAUAAGAAUCCGGAAAAUUGCGGGAGGUGAACCUGCCUCUGUGACAGUAUAGUGUAUACUGGUGUGAUUGUUGAUGACUAAUUCCUAUAGCAUUCUGAUUUUUCGGAUAUAUCUAAAGCUUGCAAUGUGAUUUGUUUCGCUGCAGGGUAAUACCCAUCCAUCUGCAGCGCUGCCGAUAGCCUUAUUCUGCUCUUCAUCUUCCUGAUUUGAAUCACAUGAACAGAGCAAGAACGCCAAGGACGCCGACCACUGUGGCCGAGCUUGCUGUGUCGAUCAAAAUGCUCGCGGUCCUGGCCAGCCGCGGCGUGUUCCAAGCAGCACACGCGAUUAAGUUCUACGCUUCGCCAUAGCCCCCUUUUAGGUAACCUAACUUCAUAGGGGAAAUCUGAGAUAGAAUUCCACGAUUAAUUCUGUGGCAUUGAUCUUUUGUUAGGGCAUAUGCUGCAUUGAUCUCUGCUUGUACUUCUGUGCCACAAGAUAUUAUUCCAUUGCCUGGAAAUAGCCUUUUAUUGCAGUAAAAAAAUACUGUAAGCUGUCCCGCACAUUAUAGUGUGGGAGCCUACUGUUCAUAUGGCAGUUAAGCUGGUUAUUGGUGCUGCAGCUGACCGCCAUGGCCUCCAUAUGCUACACAUAUGCAGCUCAAGCAUACUCAGACUUGAUUCUUGUUGUCGCUCAUGGUAUGACAUUGUUCCAGAAUAUCCAUUUCAUUAUGUUGUUACUUCAUUAUGUUGCACAUUUAUAUCUCCAAAUUUAGCAUAUCUUGAUGUCCCAAACUAUAGACGAUGAAUCAAAAAGUAGGGCUUUGCUGGAGUUUCACGAAAAGCUGUCAUGCCAUUUUUCAAGGACGCUUUGGAUAUAUUGGGCUGACCGAUGUAUGAGUAUAUUCUUGUUUGGUCAUUUGAACUGAUAUUUCCAUGUUUAUAUAUAAAAAAUAAAUAUUCAUUGACUUCACACCGUUGCCAAAAAAACAUUUUAUGAUAAAAGCACAUUCUUGAAAACUACCAUUUCGUAGACGUGCAUUGCACCUGCGUGUUCAUUGCACCUGUGUGAUAUACUAAUAAUCUAUUGUGAACUGCGAGUGCCAAUAGUAGGGAACUAGGGGAGGUUAUCUCCCAGAAUCAUAGGAGAGAAGAACUGAAGAAGCGAUACCUUAGUUUGGUAUGAUGCAAUGAGAAGAGUACAAUGUUUGAGAGGCUCAGAGAGUACCAAGGCACAGGUGCAAUGUUAGUGGAUUACAGGUUGGAAAAACAAGGCUAUUCAGAGUUCAGACACCAUGUGCAUGUUUGCUGCUGCUAGAUGAUUUUGCUUGUCACAGGACUGUUUAUGACCGACAAUCCAGGGCUUCGGUAAUUGACGGGGGCUAUUCUGGCCCCAUUUUUUACUAUAAAAACGAUUUCAUUUGGAGAAGAUGCAACAGAGGAACCAGCCACACGACACCAACAAGCAGGUGAAGGUUACUGGGUUUUUUUUUUGGUUCUUUGAGUUAGUUGUGAUUGUUAUCACUAGAUGUUGUAGGACACAACUUAUUUUGUGAAGAUCACUCCUCAAAUGCACUGACUGAAGUGCCAUAUCAUGUAGGAUUUGCUUUGUUAUGUUUUUCACAGUACAAUUAAAACUUAUAAAUAUGGCUUCAUGACAAUGGAGUGGUGAAAUGCCCAUCCAGCUUUGCAAUCCUCUGUAUUUGCAAAUUCUCUAGAUAGAUCAAGUUCAUUUGACAAUGUUUAAAGAAGCAUCACUGACAGAUAUUGUCUUCAGUGCUUCCCAAAACCAGGUGCUGAAGUACAUUCUAUCUAGACAAUACUAUUUGAAAAUAAGGCCUAAAACAUCUUGUUUUGAUUCAGAGGGUUUUGCCACCCCUACACUCAGCAGCAUUUCAUCCAAAACAAUCUUGAUGCUAACUGAAACAUGAAAAGUAAAACAAAUCAGGAUAGAUAUAAUUCACAAAUCAGGUGGACCUGUAUUUUGUGUUAUCUUGUGGUGGCAGAACCAUUUGUCAUUAAUCCUUUAACAGAUUAUUGUCGGGUCUAAAUUUCCGUUCUUACAAAGAUGAAAUAAAUAAAUGUUGAUCUAUUCAUAGCUGGAUGUACCUGUGGGCAUUCUAAUUGUGUUUGCUGGAUGUAUAGUAAAACACACACAGAUCAGGAAGGCCAAGGAAAUAUAUUGAGUUUACUGGAUUGAUGAAGUAUGUUAUUGCAACUUUUUUCUGAAUUAAUGUUGUCCACUGUUUCUAUUUUUUUACAUACAGCCUUUCAGGUUAUCACUAUUGUCCUGAACCAUGCCAUUUUAUAUUGAUCAGAUCUGAUACCUUAUAGAGGGUGGUAUUUUGCCGUAGAACUGCAGAGAGUUCACAGUCAACCAACAAGAUAUUGAUGAGAGCGCAACAAGGUAUGCCACCCAAUGAGAAGCUAUAUUUCGUUCAGCAGUAGACCCACUAAGGAAGAAUAAUAACUUCCAAUUGCACAACAAGAUGGAGAUAUCUGAACUCUGAACCCAGUCAGGAAUCAGAAAAUCCUGGUUGCAACAUCAAUACAAAAACGGUGGGAGAAGUCAGUUGCAACCAGCAACAUGCAGAAGAGCCAGCCUGCAGUCCUUCUACGGCCAGCAACACUUCAAAGAAAGACCAUCAUUAUACUCCUACCAACAAUAGCGGUGAAGCAGUACCUCAAACACUUUACAUCUUCGGAAAAAACAAGACAAAUGUUGUGAUGCGUGCCAAAAUAUUCUAGCUAUACUUUGUAUAUAAAACUAACUUGAGACUGAAUUUAUAACUGAGUUUAGGGAAUACAUCCUUAGCCAACAAUUUUACUUGUGCUUGAUUAGGAGCAGUUUAGGGAAUGUCAUGUCGAGAAGUUAGUAGAAUACAUGGCGUGGGAGUUUCGUUUUGGUUA
Molecule: long non-coding RNA, 3833 nt
Organism: Lolium perenne
Lineage: Eukaryota; Viridiplantae; Streptophyta; Magnoliopsida; Poales; Poaceae
Source: RefSeq, a predicted model, not a curated record